UCUUUGGAUUUUUCUCUUUCAUUUCUCAAAUCCAAUCAAUUACCACGCCUGGCAAUUCAAUUUGCUCAACAUCACUUGAUGUGUUCCACCUCUCCACCUUCACAGAUGGUGUUCUCUUCCUCUUUCACCUGCUGCUGCUGCUGCCGCUAAGUCGCUUCAGUCGUGUCCGACUCUGUGCAACCCCAUAGACAGCAGCCCACCAGGCUCCCCCAUCCCUGGGAUUCUCCAGGCAAGAACACUGGAGUGGGUUGCCAUUUCCUUCUCCAAUGCAUGAAAGUGAAAAGUGAAGUUGCUCAGUCGUGUCCGACUCUUCGCGACUCCAUGGACUGCAGCCUACCAGGCUCCUCUGUCCAUGGGAUUUUCCAGAUGCUGGACUGUAAAGGUGGACAGGAGGACCCCUGAAAGGAGAAAAUCAUGAUGAAGGAGGAAGGAGACUGGAACUGUGGACCCAGCUCAGCAAUACAACCUGAAGAGAAAGAUUCUUCAUAUAAGUGAUAUACUGCUACUGCUGCUAAGUCACUUCAGUCGUGUCCGACUCUGUGUGACCCCAUAGACGGCAGCCCACCAGGCCCCGCUGUCCCUGGGAUUCUCCAGAUCACUCAUUCUGGGACAAGCCAGCUGCCCUAUCUUGAGCAUCCAGAUGGAAAGGCUCACAUGGUGAAAAAUGGAGGCUUCACGCUAACAGCCAUCUAAGUGAACUUGAAAGUAUUAUAUUCUCCAGUUCCGAUCAAGUCUUCAGAUGAUGGCACCCCAGAAAGUUGCUUCAUUGCAAUCGAGAACCUGAGCAGAAAAGUACCGAGUUAAACCACUCCCAGUGGGUUCAAUCCCUGGGUCAGGAAGAUCCCCUGGAGAUGUGUAUGGCAACCCACUCCAGUAUUCUUGCCUGGAGAAUCCCAUGGACAGAGGAGCCUGGAGG
Bos taurus (domestic cattle) is the source of this 916-nucleotide long non-coding RNA. Lineage: Eukaryota; Metazoa; Chordata; Mammalia; Artiodactyla; Bovidae. The record is from Ensembl.